UACGAAGGGGGCGAGCGUUGUUCGGAAUUACUGGGCGUAAAGGGCGCGUAGGCGGCUACCCAAGUCAGAUGUGAAAGUCCUGGGCUUAACCUGGGGACUGCAUUUGAUACUGGGUUGCUUGAAUUCGGGAGAGGAUAGCGGAAUUCCCAGUGUAGAGGUGAAAUGCGUAGAGAUCGGGAGGAACACCGGCGGCGAAGGCGGCUGCCUGGGCCGGCCCUGACGCUGAGGCGCGAAAGCUAGGGGAGCAAACAGG
RNAcentral lists this ribosomal RNA (253 nucleotides) under uncultured bacterium. RNAcentral describes it as "partial 16S ribosomal RNA". It matches the Rfam family "Bacterial small subunit ribosomal RNA", at positions 524 to 776 of the family's 1533-position model. The record is from RNAcentral.